AACGCACCUUGCGCCCCUUGGCAUUCCGAGGGGCACGCCUGUUUGAGUGUCGUGAACUCCUCCACCCUCUACCUUUUUCGGAAGGCAUUGGGCUGGGAUUUGGGAGCUUGCGGGUCCCUGGCCGAUCCGCUCUCCUUGAAUACAUUAGCGAAGCCCUUGCGGCCUUGGUGUGAUAGUCAUCUACGCCUCGGUUUAGCGAACAUAACGGGAGUCGCUUCCAACCGUCUCGCAAGAGACAAUUCAUUACCAACUUGACCUCAAAUCAGGCGGGACUACCCGCUGAACUUAA
RNAcentral lists this unclassified non-coding RNA (289 nucleotides) under uncultured Peniophora. RNAcentral describes it as "partial contains 5.8S ribosomal RNA, internal transcribed spacer 2, and large subunit ribosomal RNA". The stretch from base 1 to 52 matches the Rfam family "5.8S ribosomal RNA", at positions 103 to 154 of the family's 154-position model. The record is from RNAcentral. Lineage: Eukaryota; Fungi; Basidiomycota; Agaricomycetes; Russulales; Lachnocladiaceae.